UUCAAGAGCUCAGGAAGGGGAAAUCGUCCUGGCUCAAUGUAUCCUUCAGACGCUGGUUCCUGCUGUGCGAAUUGUCUUCUGCAAGGAUGGGAUGGAGUUUUACAGCAUGAAAGCCCAUCAGCAUACGGUCAUCUACUCCAAGCUGCUGAACAUCUCUGCAAGAAGCCGUGGGACAUACGCGUGUGGGUACCAGCAGAGGAAGGAGGAAAAGUCGCUGGAAAUGUCUACCCUCAGUGCUCCCUUGGACCUGCAGGUCACAGGUGGGACUUGACACCAGGGUGGUGGGGACAUAGGGGAUGGGGAGUAAUUAACACCACAUGGAUAUCCCAUGUGCAGCAAGAGAUGCCAAUAGAGAGAGGAUGGCUCUGGAAAGGUUCCUGUCUCAAUCUUAUGCUGCAGAAAUGGGGCUCUGCAGUACAUGAAGGUACAUAAAGCAGGUACAUAAAGCAGGCACAGGGUUUGGGCGUGGUCCCUUUCCUGGGUAAGGAUGCUCCUAGGGUUAUUCCAAAAAUGUUUCGAGAAUGCGGAAGGGAAACUGGGAUGAUUUCCAGGUGUGAGGUUGCUCCUUUUUGUUUGAUUUCCGAGGCUGCAACGAGAUGAUGCUGUGGCCAUAGUGUGAGGAUGGGCAUAUGUUGGUGUGCUUAGUAUUUGUGUUGCCUCUUCUUGCAUCAAAGCUACCAAAAAGAGCCUUUGGAUGGUGGCAGGAGGGGAAAUGCAGGAUGGAGUCUUGCAAGUGGGACGCUGCCAUCCCAUCCCAUAGAGGCAGAGCAACAUACUAGUCCUUUCUUUAUCCCCAAGGUCAAAGAAAGGAGAGUUGUGCUGCAGUAUCAUACGGUGCACAGUUGCAUUUAUGCCAUGCAUUUCUAAAUUCAUCAUAGUUUAGAUAAUUGAUCAUCAGAAUGGCAGAAACCCCAUGUCAGCCCACGUGUCUCAGGGGACAGAGCUGGCUCUGUGGGCAUCUUCCAAGGCCUACAUACCCUGCCCCGUACCAGUGCAUUCAGAAAAUCUGACCAUGCAGAGCUAUGAGCACUGGUGACACUCCGCCCAUCCAUAUGUCUGUCCAGGUCAUGUGUCCGAUUCCUCAGCAGGAACCAUAACUGCAGGUGAGGGACUCUCCUUUGCUCCUACUGACCCCAUCCCUUCACCUUUUCCCUAUCCCUCUCCUCUUUUCCCAUCUCAUCUCUAUGGCGCUGUAACACCCCAACUUCUGCGUCACUCCCAUCUGACCCCAUCAACCUCUGUGUCCCCAGACACCAACACUC
Molecule: long non-coding RNA, 1262 nt
Filed under: Gallus gallus (chicken)
Lineage: Eukaryota; Metazoa; Chordata; Aves; Galliformes; Phasianidae
Description: lncRNA (ENSGALG00010006012.1)
Source: RNAcentral